UACGGAGGAUGCAAGCGUUAUCCGGAUUCAUUGGGUUUAAAGGGUGCGUAGGCGGAAGAAUAAGUCAGUGGUGAAAGCCUGCGGCUUAACCGUAGAAUUGCCAUUGAUACUGUUUUUCUUGAGUAUAGUUGAAGUGGGCGGAAUGUGUAAUGUAGCGGUGAAAUGCUUAGAUAUUACACAGAACACCGAUUGCGAAGGCAGCUCACUAAGCUGUUACUGACGCUGAGGCACGAAAGCGUGGGGAG
Molecule: ribosomal RNA, 245 nt
Filed under: uncultured bacterium
Lineage: Bacteria
Description: partial 16S ribosomal RNA
Rfam family: Bacterial small subunit ribosomal RNA
Source: RNAcentral